This 253-nucleotide ribosomal RNA is filed under the name uncultured bacterium. Its description in RNAcentral is "partial 16S ribosomal RNA". It matches the Rfam family "Bacterial small subunit ribosomal RNA", at positions 524 to 776 of the family's 1533-position model. The record is from RNAcentral.
GACAGAGGGCUCAAACGUUGUUCGGAAUUACUGGGCAUAAAGCGCACGCAGGCGGCUUGCUAAGUCGGGUGUGAAAUCCCUUGGCUCAACCGAGGAACUGCAUUCGAUACUGGUAGGCUCGAGGACGGGAGGGGUAAGCGGAACUCCAGGUGGAACGGUGAAAUGUGUAGAUAUCUGGAGGAACACCAAUGGCGAAGGCAGCUCGCUGGGACGUGACUGACGCUGAGACGCGAAAGCGUGGGGAGCAAACAGG